UGAAUGUACUAAUUAGAUAUAAGAAAAGACACAAAACAAGACAACAUUGAAAACUCAAUGUUUUUAGAAGCUUGGGUCACCGCCUUGGAAAUGUCAAAGGGUCAUGUACGCACUGCCGGUUUAAACCAGUUUUAACCGGUUUACAGGGAUACCUAACCUCAGACUUGGUCCACAAUUGACCAUCGUACAAACAUGUGUAAAUAAACAUUGACUUCAUAGCAUUCCUGUUUAAAUAAGCAAAUUCGUUGAAUUGAUAUCCACCGCCAAUAUGCUUAAGGACACAAAAGUGUUUUAUUUGACACUACAAAAGCAUUUUUUUAAGAUACAAAGGACCAUAACUCUGUUAUUAACAGAUGUUGUACAUUGCCAUUUAGCGUGUAUCAUCCUCUUAUCCAUAUAUAUACUCAUACCAAGUUUCAAGGAAAUCUGCCAAAGCACUUCCAAGAUAUGGCUCCAGACACAAAAGUGACGGACAGAUGGAAAGACGAACGGACCAAAAGAUGGAAGGAUGGACGGACGGACAAGGCCAAAACAAUAUCCCUCCGCCUAUAGCGGGGGAAAAUUAAACAGAAAUACGAGAGAAUAAUAAUUUUAUUGAUUUAAUUACACAAUGGUUUCAUGUGAAGCACCAGAACUGCAACUAUUUAAGAAAUGAUGAUUUGAAGUAAAUACGAGUAUGUACAUAAUUUAAGGCCAAGCCCAAGGCAGAAUAAUCGUCCAAUUGUAAGGUUGUCCAACGAUAGCUGUGUUUGGUUCAUUCACUUCUCUGUUAUUGACACUGUUUGAGUACUCUAUCGGCUACAGGUAGUUAGGGUGUAGGUCACGAUUCAGCUUUUUUUUAGCUCACCUGAGCACAAUGUGCUCAUGGUGAGCUUUUGUGAUCGCCUUUUGUCUGUAGUGCGUCGUCCGUUGUGCGGCGUCAGCAUUUGCCUUGUUAACACUCUAGAGGCCACAUUUAUUGUCCAAUCUUCAUGACAUUUGGUCAGAAAAUUGGUCUCAAUAAUAUCUUGGAUGAGUUCGAAAAUGGUUACAAUUGCUUGAAAAACAGGGCUGCCAAGGGGCGGGGCAUUUUUCCUUAUAUGGCUGUAGUAAAAUCUUGUUUACACUCUAGAGGCCACAUUUUAUAUAGUCAGAAGUCUGAACUUGGUCAGAAGAUUCAUCCCGAUAAUAUCUUAGAAGAAUUACAAAAAUGAUGCUGGUUGGUUGAAAAACAUGGCUGCCAGGGGGCGGGGCAUUUUUCCUUAUAUGGCUAUAGUAAAACCUUGAUAACACUCUAGAGGCCACAUUUAUUUUCUGAUCUUCAUGAAACUUGGUCAGAAGAUUUGUCCCAAUUAUAUCUUGUUAUUUCAGGUGAGCAACUUUGGGCCUUUCAGGCACUCUUGUUUAAAAACAUUGCAUGUUCUGUGCAUUUCCAAAAAGGAAAACCAUUUUGUCAUUUAAUAAGACCCAGUUCAUUCACUGCACAAUUUAUGAAGUUAUGACUUCUUAAAGGGGGCAACAUAAAAACAGCACCCUCCUAUUUUGCUCUUGAUCUUUCUUUACCUCAGAUGUGGAAGGACCUCAUAAACUUAUUUUGAAAGUUUGCGUUUCCUUAAACUUACUCUAUUUUUCACCAUUUAAAAAUUCAAGAACACAUAAUAAACUUAAAACAAUGUUUGCCCACAUGUUGGUCUGGCCCCGCAACAGUCCAUAUUCUUUCUCUCAUACUGCUACCAAUGUUCUGCCAAGAGUGCAUUUUAUGUAUAAUCAUUUGAUAGUUAACUAUUUUAAAACAAAAUUUAAAACUCGUAAUUAUCUUUAUGCAGGUAGGACUGCCUAAGGAUGGAUCAAACAAUAUUGGAGGUGCAAUUUGCGGCAAACCGAGGGACACUCAAUUACCCCCAUGGCAGGGUAGGACCCCCCCCCCCUGGCCCCCAGUGAAUGCCGACUUGUUCUUUUCUGCAAUGAAGACUUGUUUAGGGACGUCUUGGCAUCUAAGUGCAGAAUUUGAAGCAAAUGUGACAUCAACCCUCUAGACCGAUGAGAGAAACAACACUGAACUUAAAUUUCGGAUAUAACCCUGAACAAUUGUCAUCAAUCACAUGACAUGCUGCUCACCACUAGAGGAAGACCCCUAUUGAAUUUGGCUUUGAUUCCUCUAAGUAACUGACCAGACACUAGAAGGUCCAGGUGCUGAUAAACUACACAAGAUCAAGUCCUGGUGUACUACACCCUACAGUGUUUCUGGCGGCUGGUGGAGCGAUUAAAGAAAAGCCAUGCUAAUGUUGCAAUGAUAUGUAUGCUAAACAAAAUAAAUAAAUUUAAAAAAAAAAU
Dreissena polymorpha is the source of this 2313-nucleotide long non-coding RNA. RefSeq lists it as uncharacterized. The transcript has 4 exons. The record is from RefSeq and is a predicted model, not a curated record. Lineage: Eukaryota; Metazoa; Mollusca; Bivalvia; Myida; Dreissenidae.